ACUCCGAAAAUGGCAAGUCAGCUCCAGAAGUUGGCGAGUCGACUCCGGGUUAAGUCGAGUCGACUCCCAGUCGCGGAGGUCACUUUAAUUCAAAUCCGGAACAGUUGCCGAGCCGACUCCAGAAAAGCAUGAGUCGACUCCCGCUACAGCCGAGUCGACUCCAGAUCGCGCGAGUCGACUCCGACCCCAACGGACACAUUGUCAGGUUGUGCAGAGUGUGCAGAACGGGCAGAAAAAGGUGUCUAACGGCUAGUUU
Molecule: long non-coding RNA, 256 nt
Filed under: Phoenix dactylifera (date palm)
Lineage: Eukaryota; Viridiplantae; Streptophyta; Magnoliopsida; Arecales; Arecaceae
Description: long non-coding RNA (PDAC_LNC004513)
Source: RNAcentral